This 253-nucleotide ribosomal RNA is filed under the name uncultured bacterium. Its description in RNAcentral is "partial 16S ribosomal RNA". It matches the Rfam family "Bacterial small subunit ribosomal RNA", at positions 524 to 776 of the family's 1533-position model. The record is from RNAcentral.
UACGUAGGGGGCAAGCGUUGUCCGGAUUUACUGGGUGUAAAGGGUGCUCAGGUGGUUGCGCAAGUCAGAGGUGAAAUCCUAGAGCUUAACUCUGGAACUGCCUUUGAUACUGCGCGGCUUGUGUACGGAAGAGGCUGAUGGAAUUCCUGGUGUAGCAGUGAAAUGCGUAGAUAUCAGGAAGAACACCAGUGGCGAAGGCGGUCAGCUGGUCCGUUACAGACACUAAAGCACGAAAGCGUGGGGAGCAAACAGG